UUAGAGUGGAAUAGGAUUGACUUGUGGAGAGAAAAGGCCAAGGAAGCUUUUGCCAUGUUCGGCCACCGAAGGUAAUGUUCGGCCGCCGAAAGUUCUUUAAAUUCGGCUUCCGAAAGCUCAGGUUCGGCCGCCGAACAUUGCAUGGUUUUACAUGCGGUUAGGCUGCCGAAGCUGAGUCGGUUUGCCACCUAUAUAAAUGCCUCCAGUCGGUGAAAUGGAUAAGUAUAGCUUGUCUUUGCACUUCCAGAGGUAAGGC
RNAcentral lists this long non-coding RNA (256 nucleotides) under Manihot esculenta (cassava). RNAcentral describes it as "long non-coding RNA (MESC_LNC000358)". The record is from RNAcentral. Lineage: Eukaryota; Viridiplantae; Streptophyta; Magnoliopsida; Malpighiales; Euphorbiaceae.